CGUUCUCGGGUCUUGUACACACCGCCCGUCAAGUGAGCCGAGUUGGGGGUAAUCGAAGCUCCCGAGCAAUCGGGAAUUAGAUUAAAUUCAGCGAGGAGCGCU
Molecule: ribosomal RNA, 102 nt
Filed under: uncultured bacterium
Lineage: Bacteria
Description: partial 16S ribosomal RNA
Source: RNAcentral